UUGCUUUGGCAUCACAUAUACUGAAAUUGCCGUGAUACAGCGAAGAUUACCAUGAUUCCUGUGCAAGAAUGACACACAAAUUCACACAACUUUCCAUAUUUGG
This 103-nucleotide small nuclear RNA is filed under the name Phascolarctos cinereus (koala). Lineage: Eukaryota; Metazoa; Chordata; Mammalia; Diprotodontia; Phascolarctidae. The record is from RNAcentral.